GACGAACGCUGGCGGCGUGCUUAACACAUGCAAGUCGAACGGAAAGGCCCUGCUUUUGUGGGGUGCUCGAGUGGCGAACGGGUGAGUAACACGUGAGUAACCUGCCCUUGACUUUGGGAUAACUUCAGGAAACUGGGGCUAAUACCGGAUAGGAGCUCCUGCUGCAUGGUGGGGGUUGGAAAGUUUCGGCGGUUGGGGAUGGACUCGCGGCUUAUCAGCUUGUUGGUGGGGUAGUGGCUUACCAAGGCUUUGACGGGUAGCCGGCCUGGGAGGGUGACCGGGCCCAUGGGACGUGGGGAAGGGCCCGGACCCCACCGGGGGGAAGGGGGGGGAAAUUUUCGAAGAAGGGCGGAGGCCGGAAAGAACAACCCCGGUUGGGGAAUGACGGCCUUCGGGUUAGAAACCGUUUGGGCCUGUGAGAAAGCGGGGGGGAGGGAAAUGGGAAAAGAACCACCGGCAAACUAGGG
This 467-nucleotide ribosomal RNA is filed under the name uncultured bacterium. Its description in RNAcentral is "partial 16S ribosomal RNA". It matches the Rfam family "Bacterial small subunit ribosomal RNA", at positions 28 to 506 of the family's 1533-position model. The record is from RNAcentral.